UGGGGAAUAUUGGGCAAUGGAGGAAACUCUUACCCAGCAAUGCCGCGUGAGUGAAGAAGGUCUUCGGAUUGUAAAGCUCUUUGAUUGGGGACGAAUAAAUGACGGUACCCAAAGAACAAGCCCCGGCUAACUCUGUGCCAGCAGCCGCGGUAAUACAGAGGGGGCAAGCGUUGUCCGGAAUGACUGGGCGUAAAGGGUGCGUAGGUGGCUUAGCAAGUUAGAAGUGAAAUACCUAGAGCUUAACUCAGGUGCUGCUUCUAAAACUGUUGAGCUUGAGUGCAGGAGAGGUAAGUGGAAUUCCUAGUGUAGCGGUGGAAUGCGUAGAUAUUAGGAGGAACACCAGUGGCGAAGGCGACUUACUGGACUGUAACUGACACUGAGGCACGAAAGCGUGGGGAGCGAACA
This 405-nucleotide ribosomal RNA is filed under the name uncultured Eubacteriales bacterium. Its description in RNAcentral is "uncultured Clostridiales bacterium partial 16S ribosomal RNA". It matches the Rfam family "Bacterial small subunit ribosomal RNA", at positions 355 to 774 of the family's 1533-position model. Lineage: Bacteria; Bacillati; Bacillota; Clostridia; Eubacteriales. The record is from RNAcentral.